GGUGGGCAUUGCCUAAUCUUUCUACUUCUCUCUUUGUUCAACCGAAGCAAAGAGCUCGGAGGAGGUAGCCGCGAGCACGAGUUUGACGCCGACGACGCGCCGCGAAGCCGUUCGAGGGUACGGUUGGGAUUGUAGCGUUGCGAGGAAACUAGGCGAGGAUGUGUUUUCGCCGUUCUCGACGCCGCGUCGAUGUCCGAUUAGCCUUUGAGCGUCGACCGUCGGUAUUUCAGUUCGUACUCGGCGUAGGAGCGUCGGUUUUCGACGGGACUUGGUUUGUUGGAUUCGGAACUUCGAGAGGAAUCCACGAAGCCCUUACUUGCUGGAUUUGAGUUUGGCGGGAGCUUGACUUCGGGCCUUGGGAGGUUUUCGGACGUUUCGGCAGGUUGUUCCGCAGCCGAGGGGAGUUCCGUGCUGCCAGGGAUUAGCGAGCGAGAGCCCCAGGUUUCGGCUGCUGCACUCUCCGAGACGGAUCGAGGCAAGGGCGUCGCGA
Ananas comosus (pineapple) is the source of this 490-nucleotide long non-coding RNA. RefSeq lists it as uncharacterized. The transcript is spliced from 4 exons. Lineage: Eukaryota; Viridiplantae; Streptophyta; Magnoliopsida; Poales; Bromeliaceae. The record is from RefSeq and is a predicted model, not a curated record.